This 1559-nucleotide long non-coding RNA is filed under the name Homo sapiens (human). RNAcentral's name for it is "UQCRB antisense RNA 1, transcript variant 4 (UQCRB-AS1)". The record is from RNAcentral. Lineage: Eukaryota; Metazoa; Chordata; Mammalia; Primates; Hominidae.
ACAAACAGCGGGUUAACAUCCCAACCCUAUACAGGCAAGCCCGCCCUGGGGACAGCAAACGAGUGGGGAAGCACAUCCUUUUCACUGGACUGAAGCAGCCAAUUUCCCUUCCGCGACAAACUUGGCCACUUACAAAGAAGAGAGAAAACGGAGCAAGCUGCAGCAAAAAUAAACGGUGAAGCGCGACGAUGCCGGCCAAGAAGACCCCCAGUUACUUACCGGCCUGCUUACCAGCCAUUUUGACCAGAAAGAGAAGCGUUGCCUUCUGGACUGGCAACACUCCAGAAAUGAUGGAGACAGGAUACAUCAACCUGUAUCACUGAAGAUGAUGUGGAGCAGAGCCUUUGUGGUCCUAAGAAACAUGUAUAAGAUAAAAACUUUUGUGGUUUUUCAAUCAUUUGAGGUUUUAGGAUUGUUCAUUGUAUCAACACAACUUGCCUAUUCUGACUGCUAAGGUUGUUCACUGGGUUAUUCAUAAAGGCAAAAUGAGGUUGUGAGCCACAGAAAGAGAGGACAGGAUGGUUCCAUGGUGUCCCCAGCUUAUUUUUUAUUGUUUCCUGUUUAUUGAUCUCAUCCAUUGGAGAACUCCAUGAAAGCACAUAUCUAUGCCACACUCACCACUGUAUUAUAGAACUCAAAUGUCGGUUGCAUGAAUAAAAUAUGUAACAGGAAGGCCACUAUACCUGGCCCUGACCAAUUACAAAUUUAGUUUUUCAUGAGGUUUUUUAAAGGGCAUCCAGCACACCACAGAACCCUGUGCACAACAAACUACCCCCAAAGUUAGCGGCUUAAAACACUUUCUCCCAAUUCUGAAUUCCGCUGGGUCGUUCUGCUUAGUGUAGUAUCUACUAAGUCUGGGACAUCCCAGAUAAUUUCUUCAUGCAUGUCUGGUGCUCAGUUGGCAUGUCUGAAAAAGCUGGGUUUGGCCAGACAUCUUUCUGUCCACCUAGUUUCUCCAGCAGAGUAACCAGACCUCUCUACACAGUAGCUUAGGGUGCCAAGAGCAAAUGUUCCAAGAGGGCAAGCCCUGAUGUGCAAAUCCUUAAGCCUCUGCUUGACAAAUGUCCUCUGGGCCAAAUCACAUCGGCCCAGAGUCAGUGUGGGAGAGGACUAACUACACAAGAGUGCAAAUACCAGGUAUGGUUCAUGGGGGCCCCCAGUGUUAACAGUCUACCCAAUCUGGUGAUCAUAAGGCAGACAACUGAAGUCAUGAUGCUUCGUUUUACAAAUAAAAAAGCAAAGGCUCAGAAAUGAAAUCACUUGCCCAGGAUAACACAUGUUGUAAAUGGAAAACAAAUAUUUGUUUACUGGUAAUAAGUCAAAGGCUAGUUAAGCCUUUCACUAUAUCUCAUUGCCCCUAAUCUUUAAACUCCACUUUCCUUUUCCUUAUUCUUAGCCAACUGUGAAUAUCUGUGUUCAAGAAGUUAACAAUGUAGAUAAUCCAAAAUGAAGUGUGUUUUGUAGCAUUAUCUGAGCAGUAGAUAUUAGAUGACUAAUGUAGUAUGCUCUGGAAACUCGUAACAGUUCAAAGGAAAUAAAGCCAUUUUAUAAUGAAACCA